This 497-nucleotide ribosomal RNA is filed under the name uncultured bacterium. Its description in RNAcentral is "partial 16S ribosomal RNA". It matches the Rfam family "Bacterial small subunit ribosomal RNA", at positions 28 to 507 of the family's 1533-position model. The record is from RNAcentral.
GAUGAACGCUGGCGGCGUGCCUAAUACAUGCAAGUCGAGCGAACGGACGAGAAGCUUGCUUCUCUGAUGUUAGCGGCGGACGGGUGAGUAACACGUGGAUAACCUACCUAUAAGACUGGGAUAACUUCGGGAAACCGGAGCUAAUACCGGAUAAUAUUUUGAACCGCAUGGUUCAAAAGUGAAAGACGGUCUUGCUGUCACUUAUAGAUGGAUCCGCGCUGCAUUAGCUAGUUGGUAAGGUAACGGCUUACCAAGGCAACGAUGCAUAGCCGACCUGAGAGGGUGAUCGGCCACACUGGAACUGAGACACGGGCAAGACUCCUACGGGAGGCAGCAGUAGGGAAUCUUCCGCAAUGGGCGAAAGCCUGACGGAGCAACGCCGCGUGAGUGAUGAAGGUCUUCGGAUCGUAAAACUCUGUUAUUAGGGAAGAACAUAUGUGUAAGUAACUGUGCACAUCUUGACGGUACCUAAUCAGAAAGCCACGGCUAACUACGUG